AGAGACAAUGGAAAGACCCAAAAACAGAUUCUGCAGUAAUGGAACAAAAAGCCAGACCUUGCCAUACCACCAUUUUCAUUAUCAACACCUGCAGUGACGGUCCCAGAUCCUAGACAAGAUGAUGCUGCCAAAAAACAAGGAGCUAGUGGUGGGAGCAGAGGAAAAGAUACAGAACUAAAAAGUGGAGACAGAGAUGGGGGAAGAAAGAAAAGAGCAGAAAAAGAAAAGCUGAUGCCAUUGCCCCUUCUCCAGACUUCAGCAGCUGUGAAAGUGAAUG
Long non-coding RNA from Sardina pilchardus (European sardine), 277 nucleotides. RefSeq lists it as uncharacterized. NCBI's taxonomy places the organism in Eukaryota, Metazoa, Chordata, Actinopteri, Clupeiformes, Clupeidae. The record is from RefSeq and is a predicted model, not a curated record. The transcript is spliced from 3 exons.